UGCUUAACACUGCAAGUCGGACGUAACACGGGCUUCGGCCUGGUGGCGAGUGGCGAACGGGUGAGUAAUGUAUCGGAACGUGCCCAGUAGCGGGGGAUAACUACGCGAAAGCGUGGCUAAUACCGCAUACGCCCUACGGGGGAAAGCGGGGGACCUUCGGGCCUCGCACUAUUGGAGCGGCCGAUAUCGGAUUAGCUAGUUGGUGGGGUAACGGCCUACCAAGGCGACGAUCCGUAGCUGGUUUGAGAGGACGACCAGCCACACUGGGACUGAGACACGGCCCAGACUCCUACGGGAGGCAGCAGUGGGGAAUUUUGGACAAUGGGGGCAACCCUGAUCCAGCCAUCCCGCGUGUGCGAUGAAGGCCUUCGGGUUGUAAAGCACUUUUGGCAGGAAAGAAACGGCACGGGCUAAUAUCCUGUGCAACUGACGGUACCUGCAGAAUAAGCACCGGCUAAACUACUUGCCAGCAGCCGCGGUAAUACGUAGGGUGCAAGCGUUUAUCGGAAUUACUGGGCGUAAAGC
RNAcentral lists this ribosomal RNA (525 nucleotides) under Bordetella sp. HPC760. RNAcentral describes it as "bacterial SSU rRNA". It matches the Rfam family "Bacterial small subunit ribosomal RNA", at positions 45 to 566 of the family's 1533-position model. Lineage: Bacteria; Pseudomonadati; Pseudomonadota; Betaproteobacteria; Burkholderiales; Alcaligenaceae. The record is from RNAcentral.